AUGAACGCUGGCGGCGUGCCUAAUACAUGCCAGUCGAGCUAACAGACGAGGAGCUUGCUCCUCUGACGUUAGCGGCGGACGGGUGAGUAACACGUGGAUAACCUACCUAUAAGACUGGGAUAACUUCGGGAAACCGGAUCUAAUACCGGAUAAUAUAUUGAACCGCAUGGUUCAAUAGUGAAAGCCGGUUUUGCUGUCACUUAUAGAUGGAUCCGCGCCGCAUUAGCUAGUUGGUAAGGUAACGGCUUACCAAGGCGACGAUGCGUAGCCGACCUGAGAGGGUGAUCGGCCACACAGGAACUGAGACACGGUCCAGACUCCUACGGGAGGCAGCAGUAGGGAAUCUUCCGCAAUGGGCGAAAGCCUGGCGGAGCAACGCCGCGCGAGUGAUGAAAAUCUUCGGAUCGUAAAACUCUGUUAUUAGGGAAGAACAAAUGUGUAAGUAACUAUGCACGACUUGACGGUACCUAAUCAGAAAGCCACGGCUAACUACGUG
This 496-nucleotide ribosomal RNA is filed under the name uncultured bacterium. RNAcentral's name for it is "partial 16S ribosomal RNA". It matches the Rfam family "Bacterial small subunit ribosomal RNA", at positions 29 to 507 of the family's 1533-position model. The record is from RNAcentral.